AGAAUCAACGCUGGCGGCGUGCCUAACACAUGCAAGUCGAACGAGAAAGUGGAGCAAUCCAUGAGUACAGUGGCGCACGGGUGAGUAACACGUGACUAACCUACCCUUGAGUGGGGGAUAACCUAGAGAAAUCUGGGCUAAUACCGCAUAAUACCUUUGGGUCAAAGGAGCAAUUCGCUUAAGGAGGGGUCGCGGCCGAUUAGUUAGUUGGCGGGGUAAUGGCCCACCAAGACUAUGAUCGGUA
Molecule: ribosomal RNA, 244 nt
Filed under: uncultured bacterium
Lineage: Bacteria
Description: partial small subunit ribosomal RNA
Rfam family: Bacterial small subunit ribosomal RNA
Source: RNAcentral